Molecule: long non-coding RNA, 4346 nt
Organism: Taeniopygia guttata (zebra finch)
Lineage: Eukaryota; Metazoa; Chordata; Aves; Passeriformes; Estrildidae
Source: Ensembl
CAUUGAGUACUUCUAUAACAUAACAUAACAUAACAUAACAUAACAUAACAACAUAACAUAACAUAACAUAACAUAACAUAACAUAACAUAACAUAAACAUAACAUAACAUAACAUAACAUAUAACAUAACAUAACAUAACAUGACAUGACAUGACAUAACAUUAAAAAAAAAGGCAGAAGGAAUACAUUGCUGCUUGGUUUAAAAUUUUUUUUCCUUAUUAACAUAAAGUAGGAUUAGGAAUGUAUAGUGUGUCUGAUCACCUGAAAAAAGGAUUCCAAAUUUAGACCCUGCUAAAUGAGUUUAAAACCCUCUUAUUAAAUUAUCCUUUAUUUUAUUAUUGGACUUUACCGGUAACUGUCGUUUUAUGGCUGAAGUGUCCCCUGAUGAACUACUAUGUGGCCUUUUUACAGUACUUUCAGAAAAUCAUGCUCCAAACUUGCUUCCCUCAUUCUUGCAAGGCAACCUAUUGUUUUAAACAGGAUUACUCAUGCAAGGCAGAUUAAUUCACCUACAGGAAGAAAGCCGGUGGCGGGGGCCUCGUUUUAAGGAGUUCCCUACAGAGCAGAAGAGCACAUAAAGCUGCUCGAAGCGCUUAUAGCAAGAUCUGGGGAAAUUUGGAUUGUUCGGAUAAGAAUGGACAUCCUUAAUGAGGAUCCACCUCCAAUUCAAUUAGAAGCAGCAGUGACUCAAGCCUUGGCCUGAGCUGCCCAUGCUGGCAGGGUGAGAGGAACAGGGCUGUUCUCUUUAUGCCACCUUAACCUGACCCAGCAGGAAGAGUGGAAUGGUACAGAUGUGCAGGAGGUUUUGCUGCACAUUUCCUGCUUUUGACCUGUGCUGCUGGCCAAAAUGCAGGGUCUUGUUGGUUGAUCCAGAUGGGAGGACCUGUGACAAAGAAAAGUGUUUCUAAUCUGUUUCUGUUUGCUUACAAGAAUUCUCACAGCCCUUUUUUCCUGACCACAGAAGAACUCACACAUUGAGAGCCGGUUGCCUUGCUUAGAGCUCCAGACCUGCUCCAGGCAGCAAUGUGACCCCAAAUCCUUGUAUUCACUCCAGGUCUUAUAUCAAUGAUUGCUCAGGCUCUUUGAAGUUUCUGUUCUUUGCUUGUUUCCAUACCCUUUGUCUUUCUGUCUCUUCCUCCACCUGAACCAUAGCAUCCACACAUAACCUUCCUUCCUUUUAAUAUCCUACUCCAAACUGUCCUCCCAGAGCCUUCAGGUUCUUGAGCAAUCUUGUAUUGUGGGUGGCAAUAGACUUAAUGUCUCCUUCAGCUACCCUAAAUAAAGGAAUGCAGUUAAACCUACCAAUUUCAAGAAGGUUUAGCCCAGGCUCUAAAAAUAAAAGCCUAAUGGAGUGUUGCCCUGAGGUUUUCAUCUUAGUGAAGACCUCUCUAGAAAAUGCUGUGAAGUUCGUACAUAAUGGCAUAGAAAUAAUAGAAGUAGAAAUAAAAAUAGAAAUAAAUUCAGAAAACACAGAGUAUUUUGUAAAGGAUGUCAAUGGAUACAAAAGAGAUUUCCUUUCUCCACUAACAAGGGUAACACAUAAUAUUGCAGCUUUUAGUCCAAAUAUUCAGUUUUGGCCCAUAAAGUUAAGUCGCACUUCAUCUGAGUUGCUGAAAAGGAGAAGUAAAAAGCAGAACAGCCUCCCUUGGAAAUUGGGAUCAUAUUUCCUGUUCUGUGCGCCACCCUUAAUAAAGACUCAGGGUCUCACCUGGGUGGUCAGUGGUCCUGUUGGAAUAUACAGACAUGGUGUCUGCAGGUGUGUGAGGUAGCACAGAGUGGCCUUCAAGAAGGUCAAGAAACGAGGAUUUACCUAAAUGAUCUCGUGCCCACUGAAACUGAUGACAAAGCACCCAGUGCUUUUAAUAAAGGAUCAAACCUUCUGUGGUUUGUGGACCAGAUAUGGUUCUGAAACAUGUGGUUUGGCACAGGAUGCCUCUUGGCUCCAAAGCACUCAUUUCAGUCUGAUGAAUUCCCACCAGCACAGGUUAAAGAGCUGCUGCCAUCAAGGAGAAAAAGAAAUCAUGGGCUACCAGCUCUUGCAGAAGCUCAACAGAGAGACGCCAGUAAUUUGGAGAAAAGUUAUAGCCCCAGGUUAAUUCAUCCAGUCAAUUAUUUUUUAAUUGUAUGAACAAUCUGGUGUGGUGAGAGCAGAGCAGCUGCUGAGGUUUCCGCAUGGUUCAUCUAAAAUUGUGCUUGCAGUGAAAACCAGACUCCAGCGUUGAAUAGGAUAAGAAAAGGGUGUGGAGUUUGAAAUCUCUUCCAUGGCCAGACCUCCUCAGGAAAAUGGUGCAUUGCCUUGCAGAGAUAAUAAUACCUAGGGAUUGACAUGGCAAAAGCAGUUGAGAGAAUGAACCUGUGAUUGCAAGCAGAUUGCUUGCUCUGUGUUAUUAUAGAGCCAUUUUCCUUCAUCAACCUCAAAACACUUUGCAGAGGAGAUCACUUACCAGUGAUUAAUAGUUUAGCAUGUACAUAAUUCUUUUCUCCUUCACAGCACUUGUGUGUUGAUGCAUCUUCCUGCUCCUCUGAUAAAAUGUGUACAUUAAUGUUAUGAUUAUCCUUUUAAGUGGUGAAAUUUGAGCCCUGGGUUUAGGAGUGGGGUGGGGGAAUUCCUCCCUCCUCCUUUGGUCCCAUCUUGCUGGCCUUUGCUUGUAUCUGAUGUCAGUUGCAAAAGUACCUUAUUUUAUAAGUCUUUGAUCAGCCUGGUGGUUAGCUAAAUAUAUACCUGUGGGGAGAUAAUUACAUGCUAUCAGUAGUAAAGUGUACUAAAAUAAUGUACGUUAAUUAAAACACUUGCAAAACCAAAGCAGGAAUUUUCACAGAGAUAAAUCUGCUGCAGCAACAGCUGUAUCUGAGGCUGCUUCCCAGAGACAAACAUGAAAAUAGAACCAGGGACCAGUAAAACCCAGUUUCUUCAUGCUAAAAAGAGGAAAUACAUGUACCCACUGGGAAUGGCAUGGUGGUGUUAGUCCAGAAGGGCAGGGCGAUCUGCCUUCAUUAGUGGCAGAAGAUUGGUGUGAUAAAUUCCAUCUUAUCCAUGUGACUGUUUAGCUAAGUUUGAGUGGCCCAGCAGGGGGAUGUACAAAUGGGCCUCAUAUUUUCAGGGGAGGAUUUGGAGAUUAAUUAAAUGAUGUGGCAGAAGUUUAAAAUAAAUCACCUUAUUAAUAUCUUUGAAUCCACUGUCAGUCCCUCCAGCACAAUCCUUGUACUGCUCUCUUGCCACAUUUAUGUCUGAUGAAAAUAAAUGUGGAAAUUGUCUCUCUGACCUUCCUAGCUGAAGCAGCCAAUGUCUCUUCUCCCUCUCCUACCUUGUUUCUUGGAAGAAACUCAGUUGCUGACAUUGAGCCUUACUCAGACCAAAGACACUGGUGGCUUUGGGGCAUUAUUGCCUCCAAAGCCUUAUGUCACCUGUUGAUGUUUUCUGCAGAUCCCAGACCACAGCCAGUCUCAACCCAGCACAUCUUCCCAUUGAGAACUGGAAGGGUUUGUAUCCCAGGCUUUCUCUUCCUGAAAGCUGCAGUCACUUCACCCGGGACAGCAAGGAGACAUGAGGCUGAAGCAAGUGCCAAGGAGCAAAGGAGAGCAACUGUGCCAGUGAGACCUCAGGCUUGUACCAGUGGAAGAGGUGAGCAUCUUCUUGGAAGACACAAAGGCAUUGGAAGGUUUGUAGGGCUGCAGUGGGAGAGCCACAGCUCAGCCCCCACCAACCAGCUGUGUCUCAGCACAUAUAGCCCAGGCCUUCCAGUGUGGUACUUGCACAUCUGGAGGGUUAGACAAAAGCUCUUUCUCUAACCCAUACAUGCAGUUGCCAUUGGGUUCAUGACUGUGUUGAUCACUGGUGAAUGAGUUGGUGUUGCUCCAUCUAUCCCCCUCCAUGUGUUUGUUUACAUCAUUCCCUCCUGGCACAUAUCCCUGUAGUUUUGUUGUCAUACUUUCUCACAAAAGUGAUCCUUUGCAUUCUCUCCCCAACCUGCACCAGAUCAAAUUCUACCUUUUUCCUAGGUAGUGAAAGUGGCAUAACAGAUCUGUCUAAUCAGGUUUGCUCCAUGGCCAUGUUAUCCUAUAUGCUCCUAAAGCCAGGGUGAGAGGGAGAUUCCUCUCUAAAGAUCAGCUAUGAGUUGGGUGGGAUUUCAGCCAUGAGACACUGACAUUCAAGCAGGGCACGUGGGCACCCCCCUUCCCUCUGCUCUGCAGCGUGGACUGGGAGGGAUCACAGGGGACCAGGACAGGGGAGCCAAGCAGCAGCAGGAAGCAUUUUAAUGUAUUUCAUUUCAGGGUGACCUUUAACAGGUGUGGAUUUAUGGAUGGGGAGGGGAGAGGGAAGUAAACGAGGGAUUAGAGGGACUUUA